RNAcentral lists this transfer RNA (74 nucleotides) under Candidatus Aenigmatarchaeota archaeon. Its description in RNAcentral is "tRNA-Gly". It matches the Rfam family "tRNA". From Rfam's summary of the family: Transfer RNA (tRNA) molecules are approximately 80 nucleotides in length. Their secondary structure includes four short double-helical elements and three loops (D, anti-codon, and T loops). Further hydrogen bonds mediate the characteristic L-shaped molecular structure. tRNAs have two regions of fundamental functional importance: the anti-codon, which is responsible for specific mRNA codon recognition, and the 3' end, to which the tRNAs corresponding amino acid is attached (by aminoacyl-tRNA synthetases). tRNAs cope with the degeneracy of the genetic code in two manners: having more than one tRNA (with a specific anti-codon) for a particular amino acid; and 'wobble' base-pairing, i.e. permitting non-standard base-pairing at the 3rd anti-codon position. The record is from RNAcentral. Lineage: Archaea; Nanobdellati; Candidatus Aenigmatarchaeota.
GCGCCGAUAGUCUAGCCUGGUUAAGACGUAAGCUUGCCAAGUUUAAGUCACGGGUUCAAAUCCCGUUCGGCGCA